GGGCAGUCGGCGGCCGCGGCCAGCCUCGCAGAUAUCUCUAGAGCUUUGGGCCCCGGGUCCCCACGAAGCCUCGAGCGGCCUGGGGUCUGCCCAUCUCCUCCCGGGCCCUCUGCGACCGCUCCAGUCUGAAGGGACCCAUUGGCUGUCGCGUUCCCUGGAGUCGCGACUUUUUGGAAACUGCAGACAGCCUGGCUCAGAAGAGAAGACUUGGGGUUCAGAGCCGCCCCCCCUCUCCUGCAGUGGAAAUGGACUUCCCUCGGGUCCAGUACAGGACUUCCCACACAGGCGGGUGGGUGAGUGCCCUUGGCGUUGCCCUCAUUGAUCCGGCUGGACACCAGAAACAGAUAAUCUGGUGAGCAGCUGAGGCACAGACUACCUGGGCUCCCACUUAGAGGCUGAUAUAGGACUGAAGAAGCAGCUGCUCUGUCAAACCUAGAGAUCUUGAACCUGAGGGCUGUGGACAUAUUCUUUGUAUCUUCCCUGCAGCUUGGCACCAGGUAGGCCUGUUAGGAACCUCUUAAAUGUUUCUUACGUAAACAUUCUGUUGAAAAAGUAAAUGCACGGAUGGUGUCCUGGAAGCACUCUAUGAUUAUCCCUGGUAAUUUGCUUGUCCUAAGAUCAAUGCUUAAACAACAGCACAUGAACUAGAUAACAACUCCACAGUUAUUUGUAUCAGGCAUCAGAAAAAUCUUUCUGGGAGCCUUGAAACGAUGGACACCACUAUCUUAGGACUUCUAAAAGUGAAGACCAAACACAAUUUAAAUAAAAAGAUAUGUCAUAAAAGACGUACAUCAACCUCAGUAAUUAGAAUUGGAAUUCAAAGUGAAUCAAUUAAAAAAUUUCACAAAGCCUGCAUGGAAAACUGCACACUGCCCCUUUUUCAAGCUGUCCAACACUUAGGUUGCUUUGUUUCAAGUAGAAAUGGAGUGAAAAUAUGGCAGUGGGAGGAGCUACGGCACGGAAACCCAAGUCAGAAAUUGCUAACUACUGAGUCAAGCUGGUUGAUAAGAAAGCCACAGGUGCUGUACAACUUUCUGUUUAUAACCAUAGGAAGAAAAAAAUUUCAUCUCUUAAACUGAAACCUGAACAUUACUGACUCAUUCAGAACAAUGUGUGAUCUUAACACAUGGCUUCUGUGCGUUUUAUAAACACACAAUUUCACAACUGAAAGCUUUCGGGGAUUCCAUUUGCUAUGCUGAGAGACUCCCUGGAUGGAGGGGUCCUGGAAAUGCCUGAGGAACUCCAAGCAAACAGGAAGUGUGGGCAGCGCUGCACCGUGAAGAAUUGCAAAGCACAGUGCCGCGUCUAUCACAGCCGCCCACCUGGGCACCACCCAACUUUGCACGAUCUGUUUGCUCAUGUUGCAAACACAAACAAAAUCGUGUAUAUUGUGUAGUCCACAGUUGUUCCUGGUCACUCUCUGGGUUACUAAGCCAAAUUGCAUAAUGUUUAUAUUUUGAAAUCACAAACUUGUACCUCGGAAGGGCUCAUAGAGCAUUUUAAUAAAUGGUCAGAGUAACGCCCGUAAAGGAAGUAGAGGAAGGAAUUGAUGGGCUCCUGACCAUCAAAGAAGAUAGGAGACACACUUGAAGGCAGCUCUCCCAGCCAGAAUAGAUUUACCUGAAGCUAAUGGGGCUGCACAUGUUGUAACCGCUUUAGAACACCCAGCCUGCACGGGGCCUUCCACGGGCAAGAGAGGGAGGAGCUAUUUUUUGAAAGUGCCUGUUGUUUUUUCCUAAAGAGGCUCCCAAAUGUAUGUGCUUCAGCCCUCCAAAACUUGAAUCCACGCAGCCUCUGCUUUCUCUAGCCUUUCUCUGAAAUUAUGGAAAAUUCUUUUAUUAACCAUUUCAUAUAGAAAAACACUGGCAGAUACAGCGAUUUUUUGGGGGGCACCUUUAUGGGGCCUAGCACAGAGCCCUCCACAUUGCUGGGCUCACUGUUCAUUUGAUAUAAAACAUUAAAUAAGUAAAAACAAAGCAUAUUGCUCGUGUGUGUGUGUGUGUGUGUGUGUGUGUGUGUGUGUGUCUGAUACUCAUCUUGAAUGUUUGGCUUUAGAUGUUCAAGGUUUACCAAAAAAUGAAAACAUCAGUUUUACUCCAAAGACCUGUGUGGGAGUAAAUGAACGUUUAUCUAUGAGGACCAAUGAAAAGGGACUGAGGGAGAGCCCUGAGCUUUUGUUGGAAGACUCUGGGCAAGGGCUAAUAAAAUAAUUUCCUAUCUGUUCUUGUUAUUUAGCAUACAUACCUUUAUAUUUUGUUUUAUUCAUUAGCAAACUGAAAAUCUGUGACUUUUAGAGUGAGCUAUUAUAUAUUUCUACUCAAAUACCGCUUCAAUUAAAAUAGAUUUGC
This 2348-nucleotide long non-coding RNA is filed under the name Sus scrofa (pig). RNAcentral's name for it is "lncRNA (ENSSSCG00040011667.1)". Lineage: Eukaryota; Metazoa; Chordata; Mammalia; Artiodactyla; Suidae. The record is from RNAcentral.